GCACGCAUGUCUAAGUAUAAACAGUAAUACAGUAAAACUGCAAAUGGCUCAUUAAAACAGUUAUAGUUUACUUGAUAAUAAGUUUUUACAUGGAUAACCGUGGUAAUUCUAGAGCUAAUACAUGAGCAAAAUCUUAACUUUUUUAGGAGAGAUGCAUUUAUUAGAUAAAAAAUCAAUACAUGCUUUUAAAGUAUGGAAUUUGGUGAAUUACAAUAACUCAGCAAAUCGCAUAGUGAAAACCGGCGAUAAAUCAUUCAAGUUUCUGACCUAUCAGCUUUCGACGGUAUGGUAUUGGCUUACCGUGGCAGUGACGGUUAACGGGGGAUUAGGGUUCGAUUCCGGAGAGGGAGCCUGAGAAACGGCUACCACAUCUAAGGAAGGCAGCAGGCGCGCAAAUUACCCAAUUCUAACAGCAUAAGAGAGGUAGUGACAAGAAAUAACAAUACAAGGCAGUUAAAAUGCUUUGUAAUUGGAAUGAUAGAAAUUUAAACACUUUUUAAAGUAUCAAUUGGAGGGCAAGUCUGGUGCCAGCAGCCGCGGUAAUUCCAGCUCCAAUAGCGUAUAUUAAAAUUGUUGCAGUUAAAAAGCUCGUAGUUGAAUUUCUGCUAAAAAUAACCGGUCUGCUUUUAAUAAAGGUGGUAUCUUGGUGUGUUUUUAGCAAUAAUGUCCUUUGAAAUGUUUUUUACUUCAUUGUAAUAAAUUAUAUUUAGGAUUUUUACUUUGAGAAAAUUAGAGUGUUUCUAGCAGGCUAAUGCUUUGAAUACUGCAGCAUGGAAUAAUAAAAUAGGAUUUUGGUUCUACAUUAUUGGUUUUAAGAGCUAAAUUAAUGAUUGAUAGGGACAGUUGGGGGCAUUUGUAUUUAACUGUCAGAGGUGAAAUUCUUAGAUUUGUUAAAGACAAACUACUGCGAAAGCAUUUGCCAAAGAUGUUUUCAUUAAUCAAGAACGAAAGUUAGGGGAUCGAAGACGAUCAGAUCCCGUCGUAGUCUUAACUAUAAACUUUGCCGACUAGAGAUUGAAGUCGUCUUUUAACGNUCCUUCACNCCUUACGAGAANUCAAGUCUUGGUUCUGGGGGAGUUGGUCCANGCUGAACCUAAAGAAUUGNCGAGGNCCCCCCGCGNGNNCCUGGGCUAAUUGCUCACNCGGGAACNCCCCGNCCGNUUAAAGNUGCANUGNAGCNUUUUUAUUUUGGGGGGGGCAGGCCUUUNUUGGGGGGAUUNNNGUANUCCUACAACNANCUUCNGUANNGGGGANNUUUNUAAAUUUUUAAGNCUUGGUNCCNGGAUUUGGAANNGGUGGNCCUAUUUGGGCCCCCCAAGGCCCCAUUNCCNGGNNNUNNUUUGGCGGGGGANUUNUUUNUCNGCCNNCCCCNG
This 1373-nucleotide ribosomal RNA is filed under the name Hepatozoon felis. Its description in RNAcentral is "partial 18S ribosomal RNA". The stretch from base 1 to 1167 matches the Rfam family "Eukaryotic small subunit ribosomal RNA". Lineage: Eukaryota; Apicomplexa; Hepatozoidae. The record is from RNAcentral.